RNAcentral lists this ribosomal RNA (497 nucleotides) under uncultured bacterium. RNAcentral describes it as "partial 16S ribosomal RNA". It matches the Rfam family "Bacterial small subunit ribosomal RNA", at positions 28 to 507 of the family's 1533-position model. The record is from RNAcentral.
GAUGAACGCUGGCGGCGUGCCUAAUACAUGCAAGUCGAGCGAACAGAUGAGGAGCUUGCUCCUCUGACGUUAGCGGCGGACGGGUGAGUAACACGUGGAUAACCUACCUAUAAGACUGGGAUAACUUCGGGAAACCGGAGCUAAUACCGGAUAAUAUAUUGAACCGCAUGGUUCAAUAGUGAAAGACGGUUUUGCUGUCACUUAUAGAUGGAUCCGCGCCGCAUUAGCUAGUUGGUAAGGUAACGGCUUACCAAGGCAACGAUGCGUAGCCGACCUGAGAGGGUGAUCGGCCACACUAGAACUGAGACGCGGUCCCGACUCCUACGGGAGGCAGCAGUAGGGAAUCUUCCGCAAUGGGCGAAAGCCUGACGGAGCAACGCCGCGUGAGUGAUGAAGGUCUUCGGAUCGUAAAACUCUGUUAUUAGGGAAGAACAAAUGUGUAAGUAACUAUGCACGUCUUGACGGUACCUAAUCAGAAAGCCCCGGCUAACUACGUG